UCGACUUGUUCACAUUUGUUUCCUUUUCAGACUUUCAAUUCCGAUGAAAAUCGUUUGAAUCUGCUUCCUCGGGAAUCUCCGGCAGUGCUCAGAGGAGGAGGAGGAGAAGAAGUCGUGGUCUAUUCCGUCGAUAAGAAUUCACGACGGCAAGAAGAAGCCAGAGACCAAUUGUCUGCUCGAGUUCUUUCCGCCACCGACGAUGACGACGACAAUUC
Non-coding RNA from Camelina sativa (false flax), 215 nucleotides. NCBI's taxonomy places the organism in Eukaryota, Viridiplantae, Streptophyta, Magnoliopsida, Brassicales, Brassicaceae. The record is from RefSeq and is a predicted model, not a curated record.